Ribosomal RNA from Lepisosteus oculatus (spotted gar), 119 nucleotides. Lineage: Eukaryota; Metazoa; Chordata; Actinopteri; Semionotiformes; Lepisosteidae. The record is from Ensembl.
GCCAGCAGGCAUAUCACCCUGCAACUCACAACUGGCAACCCACUGAAGCUAAGCAGGUGUGAGCCUGGUCAGUACCUGGAUGGGAGACCUCCUGGGAAAAACUAAGGUUGCUGCUGGAA